Molecule: long non-coding RNA, 808 nt
Organism: Symphalangus syndactylus (siamang)
Lineage: Eukaryota; Metazoa; Chordata; Mammalia; Primates; Hylobatidae
Source: RefSeq, a predicted model, not a curated record
UAAAAGCAGUCCACCCCAGCCAGCUGCCAGGACCGGCUGAGAUGUUUUUCCGUGUUGUGUAAGCUUUGUUCUUUCGCUGUUCACAAUAAAUCUUGCUGCUCACUCUUGGGUCUGCACCGCCUUUGUGAGCUGUAACACUCACUGCCAAGGUCUGCAGCUUCACUCCUGAAGCCAGCUAGACCACGAGCCCACCAGAAGGAAGAAACUCUGGACACAUCUGAACAGCAUCUGAAGGAACAAACUCCGGACACACCAUGUUUAAGAACUGUAACACUCACCGCGAGGGUCCGCGGCUUCAUCAAGUCAGUGAGUUGGAGAACCCACCAACUCUGGAAACACCACCAGUGUGGUAGCCUAAGCAGGUUAUUUUGGUUUUCAUAUAUUGUGGCUGGACAGGGUUCCAAAAGAGAAAGAGAGACUGGAAGUAUUCAAAGACUUUUGAAGCCUGGGCUUGUAUCUUGCCUCUCCUGACUCCCACUGCAUUUUAUUGGCCAAAGAAAUUCAAAAGAUUAAAAAGAACAAAUAAGAGACUCUGAGUUUUUAAUGGUAGGACUUGGGAAAUGGAGCCGUUAUAGGUAAAGGGGAAUGAUUAUGGCCGUCUAUGUAGUCUACCAUACAGGUACCAUGCUAAGGUUUGGAUAACAUAUUACUCGUAUCUGUAGAGGUAAAGGUGACUAUCAGAAGAAAUAUCAUAGCACAUACAUGGUCAGUGGGAUAGUUGUUUUAGCUUCAUAUUUACUUUUGUUUCUGUAAUCUAUGCCGUUCUACUCAUUGAUCAAUAAGCAUAACUUGGACUUUCUUGCCUUCA